This 69-nucleotide transfer RNA is filed under the name Ectyoplasia ferox (brown encrusting octopus sponge). RNAcentral's name for it is "tRNA-Arg". It matches the Rfam family "tRNA". Rfam says of the family: Transfer RNA (tRNA) molecules are approximately 80 nucleotides in length. Their secondary structure includes four short double-helical elements and three loops (D, anti-codon, and T loops). Lineage: Eukaryota; Metazoa; Porifera; Demospongiae; Axinellida; Raspailiidae. The record is from RNAcentral.
AAGUCUGUAUUUAAUGGAAAAAAUCGGAUUUCGAAUCAGAAAAAGAGGGUUCAAUUCCCUUCAGGCUUU